GAGUUUGAUCGUGGCUCAGAUUGAACGCUGGCGGCAUGCCUUACACAUGCAAGUCGAACGGCAGCAUGAUCUAGCUUGCUAGAUUGAUGGCGAGUGGCGAACGGGUGAGUAAUACAUCGGAACGUGCCCUGUAGUGGGGAUAACUAGUCGAAAGAUUAGCUAAUACCGCAUACGACCUGAGGGUGAAAGUGGGGGACCGCAAGGCCUCAUGCUAUAGGAGCGGCCGAUGUCUGAUUAGCUAGUUGGUGGGUAAAGGCCCACCAAGGCGACGAUCAGUAGCUGGUCUGAGAGGACGAUCAGCCACACCUGGGACUGAGACACGGCCCAGACUCCUACGGAGGCAGCAGUGGGGAAUUUUGGACAAUGGGCGAAAGCCUGAUCCAGCAAUGCCGCGUGUGUGAAGAAGGACCUCGGUUCG
This 418-nucleotide ribosomal RNA is filed under the name uncultured microorganism. RNAcentral describes it as "bacterial SSU rRNA". It matches the Rfam family "Bacterial small subunit ribosomal RNA", at positions 9 to 425 of the family's 1533-position model. The record is from RNAcentral.